ACGGGGCCCGGAUGUGACGCCACUGACUUGCGCAUUGGGGGGUCAGAGGACAGCGAGAUUCUCGCCCUGAGCAACGGCCUGACGUCGGCGGAGGCAAGCAGGCGCAGGCUCCGUGAGGAGGCAAGAUCUCAGGGAGUUGAGGACCUUUUCUUCAGAGGGUGACUCAGGUCAACACAGGGGCCCCCAUGUAGUCGACAGACACAGUGGUCCUAAGAUCUACCAAGCAUCCAGGUUCUGAGGAGACAGGCCGACAAGGAGGACUGGAGGCCCCGGAGCAGCACUAGCUCCUGCCCACAUUCCUACCUGCUGCCCUGACCAGAGUCAUCAUGCCACUUGAGCAGAGGAGUCAGCACUGCAAGCCUGAGGAAGGCCUUGAGGCCCAAGGAGAGGCCCUGGGCUUGGUGGGUGCGCAGGCUCCUGCUAUUGAGGAGCAGGAGACUGCCUCCUCCUCCUCUACUCUAGUGGAAGUCACCCUGGGGGAGGUCCCUGCUGCCGAGUCACCAAGUCCUCCCCACAGUCCUCAGGGAGCCUCCACCCUCCCCACUACCAUCAACUAUACUCUCUGGAGUCACUCCGAUGAGGGCUCCAGCAACGAAGAACAGGAGGGGCCAAGCACCUUUCCUGACCUGGAGACCAGCUUCCAAGUAGCACUCAGUAGGAAGAUGGCUGAGUUGGUUCAUUUUCUGCUCCUCAAGUAUCGAGCCAGGGAGCCAUUCACAAAGGCAGAAAUGCUGGGGAGUGUCAUCAGAAAUUUCCAGGACUUCUUUCCUGUGAUCUUCAGCAAAGCCUCCGAGUACUUGCAGCUGGUCUUUGGCAUCGAGGUGGUGGAAGUGGUCCGCAUCGGCCACUUGUACACCCUUGUCACCUGCCUGGGCCUCUCCUACGAUGGCCUGCUGGGCGACAAUCAGAUCGUGCCCAAGACAGGCCUCCUGAUAAUUGUCCUGGCCAUAAUCGCAAAAGAGGGCGACUGUGCCCCUGAGGAGAAAAUCUGGGAGGAGCUGAGUGUGUUGGAGGCAUCUGAUGGGAGGGAGGACAGUGUCUUUGCGCAUCCCAGGAAGCUGCUCACCCAAGAUUUGGUGCAGGAAAACUACCUGGAGUACCGGCAGGUCCCCGGCAGUGAUCCUGCAUGCUACGAGUUCCUGUGGGGUCCAAGGGCCCUCGUUGAAACCAGCUAUGUGAAAGUCCUGCACCAUUUGCUAAAGAUUAGUGGAGGACCUCACAUUUCCUACCCACCCCUGCAUGAAUGGGCUUUUAGAGAGGGGGAAGAGUGAGUCUGAGCACGAGUUGCAGCCACGGCCAGUGGGAGGGAGUCUGAGCCAGUGCACCUUCCAGGGCCCCAUCCAUUAGUUUCCAGUGCCUCGUGUGACAUGAGGCCCAUUCUUCACUCUUUGAAGAGAGCAGUCAGUAUUGUUAGUAGUGAGUUUCUGUUCUGUUGGAUGACUUUGAGAUUUAUCUUUGUUUCCUGUUGGAAUUGUUCAAAUGUUCCUUUUAAUGGAUGGUUGAAUGAACUUCAGCAUCCAAGUUUAUGAAUGACAGUAGUCACACAUAGUGCUGUUUAUAUAGUUUAGGAGUAAGAGUGUUGUUUUUUAUUCAGAUUGGGAAAUCCAUUCCAUUUUGUGAAUUGUGACAUAAUAACAGCAGUGGAAAAAGUAUGUGCUUAGAAUUGUGAAAGAAUUAGCAGUAAAAUACAUGAGAUAAAGACCUCAAGAAGUUAAAAGAUACUUAAUUCUUGCCUUAUACCUCACUCUAUUCUGUAAAUUUGAAAAAAAAAAAACAUGGAUACCUGGAUAUCCUUGGCUUCUUUGAGAAUUUAAGAGAAAUUAAAUCUGAAUAAAUAAUUCUUCCUGUUCACUGGCUCAUUUAUUUUCCAUUCACUCAGCAUCUGCUCUGUGGAAGGCUCUGCGUUAGUAGUGCGGAUGCUAAGAGGAAAGGCCAAGAACGGACAAAUUAAUAAAGGGCCAUCUACAAGCCAGGAAUAAGGCCAUCACCAGAAGACAACCCCGCCAGUCCUUGAUCUGGAAUUUCCACACUUCAAAACUGAAAAAAGAUAAAUUUCUGUUGUUUCAGCUACUCAGUCAAUGGCAUUUUGUUAUGGCAGCCUAAGCUAAGACAUAACCUCAGGUAACACAAUUUUUUUUUGUUUUGUCCUAGAAAAAAAAAGCAAUGUAAUUGUGACAUAUAAAGUCUGUGGUUCAUUUUGAGUUACAUUUUUGUAUGGUGCAAGAUAUGUGCAAUGGCUAGUAUUAUGUGUCAACUUGUCUAGGCUAUACUGCUCAGCUGUGUGGUCAAACAGUAGUCUAGAUGUUGCUGUGAAGGUAUUUUGUAGAUGUGAUCAACAUUUACCAUCAGUUGACUUUAAGUAAAGCAGUUUAACUUCCAUAAUGUGGAUGGGCCUUAUCCAAUUAGUUGAAGGUGUUAAGAGAAAAGACCAAGGUUUCCUGGAAAAGGAAUUCUACCACAAGACUAACAUAAAAAUGCGCUGUGAGUUUCUAGCCUGCUGACCUGCCUUCACUGUCCUGGGGGAGGCAUGGAGAGACCAGGUGGACUGGAGUAGACUGUUGAGAGACACUGGUCUGGUGAAGAUGUCCAGGAAACCACGAGCCUCCAGCCCAUUGUCCAACAACCACCCACCAACACCAAAGAGGCGAGGAAGUGGAAGGCAUCCUCUCAACCCUGGCCCAGAAGCCCUAUCAAAGUGAACGGCCCACCCAAGCUCUGACUCCUACCCUGUCCUCCCCUGGCACAACCCCCACCCCAGCCUGCACCAUUUCUCUAUGAAGCCCCUGUUCUCACCCCUCCUCCAUCCUCUUCCCCAAACCAGUGCCCUUCUUUGAUCUCCCGGUUGGUUUUCCAGGUUGCCAAGACAACCCGGAAGGGAACAGGGACCCGUCAAGGAAGUUCCAGGAACAAAAGGCUCUCCCUAAAAGACCACCGCUUCAAAAAAACCUCAGGAAUGGAGUGGGCCAACACUAUCCAGCCACUCCGACCAGCCAAAUGAGGAACUCAAUCAAAAUGAGCCACAGUAGGACCACAAGGGCAAGGAGACCACCACCUUCUACAGUCUCUCUUUGGGCAGCCAGUAAUUCCCGGGCAAGGCCAGAAACAUCAAGUCUAUCUGAAAAGUCUCCAGAGGUCUAACCCCAGAUAAGUAGCCAACAGGGUGUAGAGUACAUUUUACACCCCAAAGGGUAUGCCCUAUGGUGACGAAAAUAAAAUGAACAUGUUGCAAAA
Molecule: RNA transcript, 3231 nt
Organism: Pan troglodytes (chimpanzee)
Lineage: Eukaryota; Metazoa; Chordata; Mammalia; Primates; Hominidae
Gene: MAGEA12
Gene name: MAGE family member A12
Exons: 4
Source: RefSeq, a predicted model, not a curated record